This 797-nucleotide ribosomal RNA is filed under the name uncultured bacterium. RNAcentral describes it as "bacterial SSU rRNA". It matches the Rfam family "Bacterial small subunit ribosomal RNA", at positions 8 to 796 of the family's 1533-position model. The record is from RNAcentral.
AGAGUUUGAUCAUGGCUCAGGAUGAACGCUAGCGGCAGGCUUAAUACAUGCAAGUCGUGGGGCAGCAGGGUUGUAGCAAUACAAUCGCUGGCGACCGGCAAACGGGUGCGUAACACGUACGCAACCUUCCCGUUACUGUGGAAUAGCCCAGGGAAACUUGGAUUAAUACCACAUAUUAUAUUGAUGAGGCAUCUCGUUGAUAUCAAAGCUUCGGCGGUAACGGAUGGGCGUGCGGUUGAUUAGGUAGUUGGCGGGGUAACGGCCCACCAAGCCUACGAUCAAUAGCUGAUGUGAGAGCAUGAUCAGCCACACGGGCACUGAGACACGGGCCCGACUCCUACGGGAGGCAGCAGUAAGGAAUAUUGGGCAAUGGACGAAAGUCUGACCCAGCCAUGCCGCGUGAAGGAUUAAGGUCCUCUGGAUUGUAAACUUCUUUUCUCUGGGGCGAGAACCACCCUUUCUAGGGUAUUUGACAGUACCAGAGGAAUAAGCACCGGCUAACUCCGUGCCAGCAGCCGCGGUAAUACGGAGGGUGCAAGCGUUAUCCGGAUUCACUGGGUUUAAAGGGUGCGUAGGUGGGUCUGUAAGUCAGUGGUGAAAUCCCCGAGCUUAACUUGGGAACUGCCGUUGAUACUAUAGAUCUUGAAUAUCGUGGAGGUAAGCGGAAUAUGUCAUGUAGCGGUGAAAUGCUUAGAUAUGACAUAGAACGCCAAUUGCGAAGGCAGCUUACUACACGAUCAUUGACACUGAGGCACGAAAGCGUGGGGAGCAAACAGGAUUAGAUACCCUAGUAGUCC